UGGCUCAGUUAUUAGAGCAUGGUGUUUGCAACGCCAGCAUGGUGUGUGCAACGCCAGGGUUGUGGGUUCGAUUCCCAC
Molecule: transfer RNA, 78 nt
Filed under: Salmo salar (Atlantic salmon)
Lineage: Eukaryota; Metazoa; Chordata; Actinopteri; Salmoniformes; Salmonidae
Rfam family: tRNA
About the family: Transfer RNA (tRNA) molecules are approximately 80 nucleotides in length. Their secondary structure includes four short double-helical elements and three loops (D, anti-codon, and T loops).
Source: Rfam by way of RNAcentral